This is a non-coding RNA of Capsicum annuum, 104 nucleotides long. The record is from Rfam. Lineage: Eukaryota; Viridiplantae; Streptophyta; Magnoliopsida; Solanales; Solanaceae.
GCCUUUAUUCGGGGGCAUCCGAUAAAAUUUGAACGAUACAGAGAAGAUUGCAUGGCCCCUGUGCAAGGAUGACAAGUACAAAUAGAGAAAUGGUUCAAAUUUUG